GAUCAUGGCUCAGGAUGAACGCUGGCGGCGUGCUUAACACAUGCAAGUCGAACGGAGUUUUUAAACGGAAGUUUUCGGAUGGAAGUUUAAGAACUUAGUGGCGGACGGGUGAGUAACGCGUGGGUAACCUGCCUCAUACAGGGGGGAUAACAGUUAGAAAUGACUGCUAACACCGCAUAAUAUAGUGAAACCGCAUGAUUUUGCUAUCAAAUAUUUAUAGGUAUGAGAUGGGCCCGCGUCUGAUUAGCUAGUUGGUGGGGUAAAGCCUACCAAGGCGACGAUCAGUAGCCGGCUUGAGAGAGUGACCGGCCACAUUGGGACUGAGACACGGCCCAAACUCCUACGGGAGGCAGCAGUGGGGAAUAUUGGACAAUGGGGGAAACCCUGAUCCAGCGAACCGCCGCGUGAGUGAAGAAGUAUUUCGGUAUGUAAAGCUCUAUCAGCAGGGAAGAUAAUGACAGUACCUGACUAAGAAGCCCCGGCUAACUACGUGCCAGCCGCUGC
This 504-nucleotide ribosomal RNA is filed under the name uncultured bacterium. RNAcentral describes it as "bacterial SSU rRNA". It matches the Rfam family "Bacterial small subunit ribosomal RNA", at positions 15 to 518 of the family's 1533-position model. The record is from RNAcentral.